GCUCGGGCUUCGCGCGGCGUAACCUUGUGAACCCCGCGAGGACCGGAAGGUAGCAGCGGUAAGCGAGUUC
Molecule: signal recognition particle RNA, 70 nt
Filed under: Vulcanimicrobiota bacterium
Lineage: Bacteria; Bacillati; Vulcanimicrobiota
Description: partial signal recognition particle sRNA small type
Rfam family: Bacterial small signal recognition particle RNA
About the family: The signal recognition particle (SRP) is a universally conserved ribonucleoprotein involved in the co-translational targeting of proteins to membranes. Archaeal SRP consists of a 7S RNA and homologues of the eukaryotic SRP19 and SRP54 proteins.
Source: RNAcentral